RNAcentral lists this ribosomal RNA (1905 nucleotides) under Escherichia coli. Its description in RNAcentral is "partial 23S ribosomal RNA". It matches the Rfam family "Bacterial large subunit ribosomal RNA", at positions 911 to 2798 of the family's 2925-position model. The record is from RNAcentral. Lineage: Bacteria; Pseudomonadati; Pseudomonadota; Gammaproteobacteria; Enterobacterales; Enterobacteriaceae.
UGUUUCGGCAAGGGGGUCAUCCCGACUUACCAACCCGAUGCAAACUGCGAAUACCGGAGAAUGUUAUCACGGGAGACACACGGCGGGUGCUAACGUCCGUCGUGAAGAGGGAAACAACCCAGACCGCCAGCUAAGGUCCCAAAGUCAUGGUUAAGUGGGAAACGAUGUGGGAAGGCCCAGACAGCCAGGAUGUUGGCUUAGAAGCAGCCAUCAUUUAAAGAAAGCGUAAUAGCUCACUGGUCGAGUCGGCCUGCGCGGAAGAUGUAACGGGGCUAAACCAUGCACCGAAGCUGCGGCAGCGACGCUUAUGCGUUGUUGGGUAGGGGAGCGUUCUGUAAGCCUGUGAAGGUGUGCUGUGAGGCAUGCUGGAGGUAUCAGAAGUGCGAAUGCUGACAUAAGUAACGAUAAAGCGGGUGAAAAGCCCGCUCGCCGGAAGACCAAGGGUUCCUGUCCAACGUUAAUCGGGGCAGGGUGAGUCGACCCCUAAGGCGAGGCCGAAAGGCGUAGUCGAUGGGAAACAGGUUAAUAUUCCUGUACUUGGUGUUACUGCGAAGGGGGGACGGAGAAGGCUAUGUUGGCCGGGCGACGGUUGUCCCGGUUUAAGCGUGUAGGCUGGUUUUCCAGGCAAAUCCGGAAAAUCAAGGCUGAGGCGUGAUGACGAGGCACUACGGUGCUGAAGCAACAAAUGCCCUGCUUCCAGGAAAAGCCUCUAAGCAUCAGGUAACAUCAAAUCGUACCCCAAACCGACACAGGUGGUCAGGUAGAGAAUACCAAGGCGCUUGAGAGAACUCGGGUGAAGGAACUAGGCAAAAUGGUGCCGUAACUUCGGGAGAAGGCACGCUGAUAUGUAGGUGAAGUCCCUUGCGGAUGGAGCUGAAAUCAGUCGAAGAUACCAGCUGGCUGCAACUGUUUAUUAAAAACACAGCACUGUGCAAACACGAAAGUGGACGUAUACGGUGUGACGCCUGCCCGGUGCCGGAAGGUUAAUUGAUGGGGUCAGCGCAAGCGAAGCUCUUGAUCGAAGCCCCGGUAAACGGCGGCCGUAACUAUAACGGUCCUAAGGUAGCGAAAUUCCUUGUCGGGUAAGUUCCGACCUGCACGAAUGGCGUAAUGAUGGCCAGGCUGUCUCCACCCGAGACUCAGUGAAAUUGAACUCGCUGUGAAGAUGCAGUGUACCCGCGGCAAGACGGAAAGACCCCGUGAACCUUUACUAUAGCUUGACACUGAACAUUGAGCCUUGAUGUGUAGGAUAGGUGGGAGGCUUUGAAGUGUGGACGCCAGUCUGCAUGGAGCCGACCUUGAAAUACCACCCUUUAAUGUUUGAUGUUCUAACGUUGACCCGUAAUCCGGGUUGCGGACAGUGUCUGGUGGGUAGUUUGACUGGGGCGGUCUCCUCCUAAAGAGUAACGGAGGAGCACGAAGGUUGGCUAAUCCUGGUCGGACAUCAGGAGGUUAGUGCAAUGGCAUAAGCCAGCUUGACUGCGAGCGUGACGGCGCGAGCAGGUGCGAAAGCAGGUCAUAGUGAUCCGGUGGUUCUGAAUGGAAGGGCCAUCGCUCAACGGAUAAAAGGUACUCCGGGGAUAACAGGCUGAUACCGCCCAAGAGUUCAUAUCGACGGCGGUGUUUGGCACCUCGAUGUCGGCUCAUCACAUCCUGGGGCUGAAGUAGGUCCCAAGGGUAUGGCUGUUCGCCAUUUAAAGUGGUACGCGAGCUGGGUUUAGAACGUCGUGAGACAGUUCGGUCCCUAUCUGCCGUGGGCGCUGGAGAACUGAGGGGGGCUGCUCCUAGUACGAGAGGACCGGAGUGGACGCAUCACUGGUGUUCGGGUUGUCAUGCCAAUGGCACUGCCCGGUAGCUAAAUGCGGAAGAGAUAAGUGCUGAAAGCAUCUAAGCACGAAACUUGCC